GCGGAUAUGGCGGAAUUGGCAGACGCGUUAGCUUCAGGUGCUAGUGGCUUAGCCGUGCAGGUUCAAAUCCUGUUAUCCGCACCA
This 84-nucleotide transfer RNA is filed under the name Clostridium pasteurianum. RNAcentral's name for it is "tRNA-Leu". It matches the Rfam family "tRNA". Rfam says of the family: Transfer RNA (tRNA) molecules are approximately 80 nucleotides in length. Their secondary structure includes four short double-helical elements and three loops (D, anti-codon, and T loops). Lineage: Bacteria; Bacillati; Bacillota; Clostridia; Eubacteriales; Clostridiaceae. RNAcentral also lists the same sequence under 1 other name. The record is from RNAcentral.